CACAGUGGCCAUGAUAUGUGCGCACAACACGCACGUCCCAUCUGUGCACAGGGUGGAGGGUCACGACCAGCACGUGCGUACUGUUGCGCGCAAUCAGGCCGUUUGCGCGUCACCUCGCGCACAGACAAACGCCACACACUGUGCGCGCGCGUCGUCCACGCAGUAGGCCUGUGCGGAUAGGCCCUAUGUGCCUGGGGCCUGCAUGCAGUAAGCUUGCACGCGCAGCACCAAGGCCCUACGCGUGAAUGGGAGGAGGCCUGUGGAGCACUGCCACCUCGGAUAGUGCACUACCACUGCCUUGGGUGGCGCACUGUCGCUGUUGAUAGAGGAGGUCCUCUUCUCUCGUUUUUCAUGACGAACAUCUUUUUUUCCUCUCUCUUCACUGGAUUUGACCAGUUCUUAAAUUUUUUAGUUCCUAAAUUUUAUAAAUUACCCUCUCUUUUUCCUUCCUCUCCAAACUUCUAUUCUUCCAUUUUUCAAAGGUUUUAAAAGAGAGAGAG
RNAcentral lists this long non-coding RNA (500 nucleotides) under Carica papaya (papaya). RNAcentral's name for it is "long non-coding RNA (CPAP_LNC012397)". Lineage: Eukaryota; Viridiplantae; Streptophyta; Magnoliopsida; Brassicales; Caricaceae. The record is from RNAcentral.